AAAUAUAAGAUGAAUGAGAUUCGUAUAUCCUCGACAAUAUGGGUUGAGGGUUUCUACAAGGAGCCGUAAAUUCCUGUCUACGAAUGGGGCAUUGCUAUAC
This 100-nucleotide non-coding RNA is filed under the name Paenibacillus selenitireducens. Its description in RNAcentral is "Guanine sequence". It matches the Rfam family "Purine riboswitch aptamer". Rfam says of the family: Riboswitches are metabolite binding domains within certain messenger RNAs that serve as precision sensors for their corresponding targets. Allosteric rearrangement of mRNA structure is mediated by ligand binding, and this results in modulation of gene expression. Lineage: Bacteria; Bacillati; Bacillota; Bacilli; Caryophanales; Paenibacillaceae. The record is from Rfam by way of RNAcentral.